Long non-coding RNA from Balaenoptera musculus (blue whale), 979 nucleotides. RefSeq lists it as uncharacterized. Lineage: Eukaryota; Metazoa; Chordata; Mammalia; Artiodactyla; Balaenopteridae. The transcript is spliced from 3 exons. The record is from RefSeq and is a predicted model, not a curated record.
CGGCUUUGUGCCUACGCGCACGGCUGGUCGAGCCACCGCCGCUUCGGCUGAUGCACUGCUUCCUCGGCCAAAGUCCUCUCACCUCCUCCCCGUGAGAGCGGCAGAACCUGUCACUCCAAGUGGCAGAGGAGGAAACUUGCGGGGCAAGGGCCUCCCCGCCGUCUCCCCACACCCGAGGAGGACUCAGUCCAGGCGCCGGAUUUUCGCUAGUCGCCUGAGCCCUGGUGGGAAGCGUCCUAUGGCGAAAGGGAUCAGUUUGGGUUACGUCAGUGAGAGAGUAAGCAGUUCUCCUGAGGCAAAAGGCGCUCAGUCAAAUCUGAUGAAUAUAGACAAGAAAAGAAGCUGGCCCUUUCCUACCCUUCGGCUGACAUUACUAACUGGAGGGUUUAAACGCUUGGAGAAAGGUGCCUGUUUUGCGUUAGUGGGUGUGGAGCCACUAGUUUCGCUCCAAAGCACUGGGGCUAGAGAGAAGAUUAAGGCCCAGUGUCUGCACCAAGGAGCUUGCUGUUUAAGCAAGAAGACGUGCCAGUAGUGGCACUGAGGUGCUCCAGAGCACGGAGGAGGGCCUUUCAGGUCCGGCGUCUCUGAAAUGGGGUAACUCCCGUUCUGGUAGGCCCUGAUGAGCGAGGCUCCCCGGAGCCGACGGGGCACCAGCUCUCUGAUGCUGUCACGUGGUGAAAAGUGCACCAAGCGAAGACUCCGCAGGCUCCCAAGGCCCAGAGACGUGGAGAGCGGCCAGAGCGUGCUGAAGGCAGCGGAAGCGGUGCGGGCCGGGAGCUCCCGUCACGCCGGGGAAGAGGAAAACAACACGGAAAACAGACGAAACUAAUAGGAACCUUCCAAGUUGUGAAAAUGUAAACCGGUGACUAGAGACAUUCAUUUCAGUUUGCUUUUGGUAAUUCACUGGGAACGGAAGGAAACAUUUUAAAUCUAUAAAACUGCUGACUAAUCCAAUAGGUAAAAUUUAGAGGGAAUUCCC